GCCUGGAUGGCUCAGUCGGUUGAGCGUCUGACUUCGGCUCAGGUCAUGAUCUCACAGUCUGUGAGUUCGAGCCCUGCUUCGGAUU
This 85-nucleotide transfer RNA is filed under the name Felis catus (domestic cat). It matches the Rfam family "tRNA". From Rfam's summary of the family: Transfer RNA (tRNA) molecules are approximately 80 nucleotides in length. Their secondary structure includes four short double-helical elements and three loops (D, anti-codon, and T loops). Further hydrogen bonds mediate the characteristic L-shaped molecular structure. tRNAs have two regions of fundamental functional importance: the anti-codon, which is responsible for specific mRNA codon recognition, and the 3' end, to which the tRNAs corresponding amino acid is attached (by aminoacyl-tRNA synthetases). tRNAs cope with the degeneracy of the genetic code in two manners: having more than one tRNA (with a specific anti-codon) for a particular amino acid; and 'wobble' base-pairing, i.e. permitting non-standard base-pairing at the 3rd anti-codon position. The record is from Rfam by way of RNAcentral. Lineage: Eukaryota; Metazoa; Chordata; Mammalia; Carnivora; Felidae.